AGGAUGAGAAAACAACCCUUUGCCAAAACAGCGCUGAGUUCCGAAAGCUUCUGGCUCCUGAAGACAAGCCGGUGUGCAUUCCCAGAAGCUUCCAGACCUUGCCUCACACUGACAGAACUCAGAGAAAACUUUGGAUCUGCCGAUCUUUACAGCACAUCACAGGUCCUGCUUUGGGAGAGAAGUCAAGAGAAGGAACCAGAUGAGAAAGAGGACUUCCUGAAGACAAGGAAGAGGAAAUGUGGGGAUGCCGUGCAUUCAUGUUCGCAGCCCUGAGUGUCCACCUGUGAAGGCCAGUGCGUGGUCCUCUUCUACUCCUGUCCUACGCCUUGUUCCCCCGAGGCAGCAUCUCUCACAGAAUGAAGAGCAUGCUGCUGUCCAUCAAGGCUAGCAGGCCGAAGUUCCAGGGACCCUUCUGUCUCUGCCUCCCAGCUCUGGAGUUACAGGCACAUGUGGCCACAGCUGGCUGUAGCAGGCUUUUUUGGAGCGCCAGCCCUCAAAUCAUGGCACUUAUUAUGACCUGUUAAGAAGCCUCUCUCUGCCCAGCUCUAACUUUUUAAGGGAACAAUGCGUCUCCUUUACUGUUCCAGUCCAGUCAACAUCUAAAUGCUUCUCCCUUGUUCUCAACUUAUGAGAGGAAUUUUUGCAUCGCACUUGAAGGCAAAACAGCAGCAGUAUUUACUGAAAGCUGGGCAAGAGAUUUGCCCUUAUGUUGUCUUCCAUCAGUAUCGUCUGUCUGGCAGGCUAAGGCUUGCAACCUGAUUUCACACCCAAGUACAUGUUAGAUGCACUAGAAAACAUCGUUCACAAAACAUAAAAUUUAGCUGGCUACUCUCAACCGAAGCUUGUGAGUGUACUGUGGGGGAGGUAUUAAUGCACACUUGCACACACACACACAUACACAGGUUGAGGCCAGAGGAUAACCUCAGAUAUCAGUCCUCUGGCACUGUCCAUCAUUUUGCAAGACGGCAAGGCUGGCUGGCCAGUGAGCUCCAGGGACCUGUUUGUCUCAGACUCUCCAGUGAUGGCAUUACAAACUUGAGCGUUCAUAUCCGGCAUUUUUUUUUUAUGUGAG
Non-coding RNA from Peromyscus maniculatus bairdii (prairie deer mouse), 1072 nucleotides. The record is from RefSeq and is a predicted model, not a curated record. Lineage: Eukaryota; Metazoa; Chordata; Mammalia; Rodentia; Cricetidae.